GUGGGGAAUUUUGGACAAUGGGCGAAAGCCUGAUCCAGCCAUGCCGCGUGCAGGAUGAAGGCCUUCGGGUUGUAAACUGCUUUUGUACGGAACGAAAAGACUCUGGUUAAUACCUGGGGUCCAUGACGGUACCGUAAGAAUAAGCACCGGCUAACUACGUGCCAGCAGCCGCGGUAAUACGUAGGGUGCAAGCGUUAAUCGGAAUUACUGGGCGUAAAGCGUGCGCAGGCGGUUAUAUAAGACAGAUGUGAAAUCCCCGGGAUCAACCUGGGAACUGCAGUUGUGAAUGUAUAGCUAGAGUACGGCAGAGGGGGAUGGAAUUCCGCGUGUAGCAGUGAAAUGCGUAGAUAUGCGGAGGAACACCGAUGGCGAAGGCAAUCCCCUGGGCCUGUACUGACGCUCAUGCACGAAAGCGUGGGGAGCAAACAGGAUUAGAAACCCUAGUAGUCC
This 450-nucleotide ribosomal RNA is filed under the name uncultured bacterium. Its description in RNAcentral is "partial 16S ribosomal RNA". It matches the Rfam family "Bacterial small subunit ribosomal RNA", at positions 354 to 796 of the family's 1533-position model. The record is from RNAcentral.